AUACGUAGGGAGCGAGCGUUGUCCGGAUUUACUGGGUGUAAAGGGUGCGUAGGCGGCUAACCAAGUCAGGCGUGAAAUGCAGAGGCUUAACUUCUGAACUGCGCUAGAAACUGGAUGGCUUGAGUGAAGCAGAGGUAGGCGGAAUUCCCGGUGUAGCGGUGAAAUGCGUAGAGAUCGGGAGGAACACCAGUGGCGAAGGCGGCCUACUGGGCUUUAACUGACGCUGAGGCACGAAAGCGUGGGUAGCAAACAGGAUUAGAUACCCUGGUAGUCCACGCUGUAAACGAUGAUUACUAGGUGUGUGGAGAUUGACCCUCUACGUGCCGGAGUUAAAACAAUAAGUAAUCCACCUGGGGAGUACGACCGCAAGGUUGAAACUCAAAGGAAUUGACGGG
This 395-nucleotide ribosomal RNA is filed under the name uncultured bacterium. RNAcentral describes it as "partial 16S ribosomal RNA". It matches the Rfam family "Bacterial small subunit ribosomal RNA", at positions 523 to 917 of the family's 1533-position model. The record is from RNAcentral.